UGAGCGGCUGGAACCGGGCCCGGAGCGCUGUCUGAGAGGGUUUAAGUUUCUCACAGUGAACCGGUCUCUUUUUCAGUCUCUUC
This is a microRNA precursor of Xenopus tropicalis (tropical clawed frog), 83 nucleotides long. Ensembl annotates it as xtr-mir-128-1. Its record names the gene xtr-mir-128-1. NCBI's taxonomy places the organism in Eukaryota, Metazoa, Chordata, Amphibia, Anura, Pipidae. The record is from Ensembl.